RNAcentral lists this ribosomal RNA (207 nucleotides) under uncultured bacterium. RNAcentral's name for it is "partial 16S ribosomal RNA". It matches the Rfam family "Bacterial small subunit ribosomal RNA", at positions 568 to 774 of the family's 1533-position model. The record is from RNAcentral.
CACGUAGGCGGAUUUGUAAGUCAGGGGUGAAAUCCCGGGGCUCAACCUCGGAACUGCCUUUGAUACUGCAAAUCUCGAGUCCGGAAGAGGUGAGUGGAAUUCCUAGUGUAGAGGUGAAAUUCGUAGAUAUUAGGAAGAACACCAGUGGCGAAGGCGGCUCACUGGUCCGGUACUGACGCUGAGGCGCGAAAGCGUGGGGAGCAAACA